CCUGACAACAUUAACACAACAAUACCUCAUCUUUUGGGAUUAUUAAAAUAGCCAAUAAAACAAAACUAUUCAAUAAUACCUAUGAACUAACUUCUAUACUUGUCAAGACAGAUUAUCUUUAUAUGAUGUGCUGCACAAUUGAAAGUAGAAAAUCACCCCAAAAAUAGGCUAUGCCUUCAAAAUUCAAAUUAGGUCUCCAUAGAAAAUACUAGACAAGUCUCCAAUUUCAGCCUGCUAACACACAAUCAGAAUUCAGCAAACCAUAGAGCCCCCUUGAGUUCAACAAAUUAAAGGAGGUGUUUUGGGGGAAAUUGUUCAAUAGGUCACCAAAACCGCAGACAAGUGUUGCUUGCUCUCUAGACCAUGACUCAACUAUAUGAUUGAUAAAUUUAGCUAAACAUGAUUCAGAGCAGCCAUUAGAGAGUAAGAUAGAGAUGGUGAAGGAAGUUGAAGGAAAAUCGUACCGGAUGCCGUCGGCAUCGACCGAUGAGGCGAUGAGAGUUCGAGAUCUUUGAGAGUCCGACUCUAAGAGAAUUCGAUCGAGAUCUGUUGACUGUUGAGAGUUGAGACUUCAGAGGACAGAGAUUGAGAAUUCGAUCAAGAUCUGUAGC
RNAcentral lists this long non-coding RNA (611 nucleotides) under Panax ginseng (ginseng). Its description in RNAcentral is "long non-coding RNA (PGIN_LNC005629)". The record is from RNAcentral. Lineage: Eukaryota; Viridiplantae; Streptophyta; Magnoliopsida; Apiales; Araliaceae.